RNAcentral lists this ribosomal RNA (247 nucleotides) under uncultured bacterium. RNAcentral describes it as "partial 16S ribosomal RNA". It matches the Rfam family "Bacterial small subunit ribosomal RNA", at positions 84 to 334 of the family's 1533-position model. The record is from RNAcentral.
UCUGGUGGCGAGUGGCGAACGGGUGAGUAAUGUAUCGGAACGUGCCUAGUAGCGGGGGAUAACUACGCGAAAGCGUAGCUAAUACCGCAUACGCCCUACGGGGGAAAGCAGGGGAUCGCAAGACCUUGCACUAUUAGAGCGGCCGAUAUCGGAUUAGCUAGUUGGUGGGGUAAUGGCUCACCAAGGCGACGAUCCGUAGCUGGUUUGAGAGGACGACCAGCCACACUGGGACUGAGACACGGCCCAG